CCAGGGCGACCACUUCCAAACUGUAAAUGGGUGCUGGAGUAGGGAAGUGCGGAUUGAAUCCCCCAGGCUCUGGAAACAGUGGAUUGCGAGGAAGAGAAAAGAAGGGAAGACAUUUUUCUGACUUAGAAAGUCUGCCAGUCUCCAGGGGAACGUCUCUACGCACAGUCCACAAUACAUUCCAGCUCCUUGGGGACAGAAGACCUACUAAUCGCUUGGAAUUUGGUUGCAAGAAUGUGAAUACAUUCCCUUAUUGGUUUAUUCUGUCUGUUAUUGAAUUACAUCAAUAUAAACACAGGAGUAAUUUUCA
This is a long non-coding RNA of Peromyscus eremicus (cactus mouse), 307 nucleotides long. RefSeq lists it as uncharacterized. Lineage: Eukaryota; Metazoa; Chordata; Mammalia; Rodentia; Cricetidae. The record is from RefSeq and is a predicted model, not a curated record. The transcript has 2 exons.